GAUCCUGGCUCAGGAUGAACGCUAGCUACAGGCUUAACACAUGCAAGUCGAGGGGCANCAUGGUCUUAGCUUGCUAAGACUGAUGGCGACCGGCGCACGGGUGAGUAACACGUAUCCAACCUGCCGUCUACUCUUGGACAGCCUUCUGAAAGGAAGAUUAAUACAAGAUGGCAUCAUGAGUCCGCAUGUUCACAUGAUUAAAGGUAUUCCGGUAGACGAUGGGG
Molecule: ribosomal RNA, 224 nt
Filed under: uncultured bacterium
Lineage: Bacteria
Description: partial 16S ribosomal RNA
Rfam family: Bacterial small subunit ribosomal RNA
Source: RNAcentral